RNAcentral lists this ribosomal RNA (986 nucleotides) under Triticum aestivum (bread wheat). RNAcentral's name for it is "partial small subunit ribosomal RNA". Lineage: Eukaryota; Viridiplantae; Streptophyta; Magnoliopsida; Poales; Poaceae. The record is from RNAcentral.
GCCGUAACAACCCGCUACCUCUUCUUCGCCCUCGCCUCGGUCCGUCAGCUCGUGCCACGAUCCUCCUCCGCCGCCGCCGCCUCCUCGCUCCGGCGACCGCUCCUCUGACUCCUGACAGCUUGCGGCCAGCAGUGCCGUAUGAGGUUCGCGGGGUGGUACCUGAAGAUCGCCGUCGGCGGCGCGGCCAUAGGCGCCGCCAUGGAGCUUUUCAUGAUCCACACCGGCUUCUAUGAGAAGGUGACGGUACUGGAGUCAGAAAAACGAGCUUGGGAAAGCAGUCCAGAAGCACAAGCUAUGAGAGAAGCCUUGAAUCCAUGGCACAAGCGUGAUGAGAAGGAGAAAAAAUAGGCAAUGAUAGACUCAUCGGUCCUCCUUUCAAGUAAUUGCAUUUCCACCCUUCCAUUGUAUCGUAACCCCUUGAACAAGGUAAUAGGGAUGUGGCGUUUUUGUAGUUGUUCGAACCUGUCUCUCUGGGGUUGCUGGAUGAUAGCUUCCAGCAAUGUUCUAAAGGAGUUAUGCCCAUAUCAUAUCCAUAUGUCUUCUUCCUAACAAGGAUUCUUUUACUGUUUCCACGCAUAUGCGUCCAUUUUGAACGUCAUUCAAACUCAGUAUCUGCUAUGUUUAGCAAUGUAACAAAGAAUUUUAGACUUGCAGAGGUCAAACCAAUCUACGUCUUCCAUUCAUUUAGUGAGGACCGUCUUUUAUGUGAGUCGAUGCUAAAUUUUGUAAUCAAAGAUAUCUGGGGUACCCCUGCUGCUCCAUUAAUUCAAAUUCUAGACGUUUAUUUCUCAUGGCAUAUUGUUUAAAUUUUUUUUUCUCUUGUUUGCUGUGUCAUGUAGGUACUUUUUUCUGAAUCAGAUGUAUAUAGACACGUUUUACUGUGUUUGUUCACUCAUUUCAGUCCAUAUACAGUCCAUAUUUAAAUAUCCAAAACAUCCUAUAUUUGUGAAUGGAGGGAGUAUUCCUCAAGCCUGGCAUUUUAGACA